AGAGUUUGAUCCUGGCUCAGAAUCAACGCUGGCGGCGCGCUUAACACAUGCAAGUCGAGCGAGAAAGGGGAGCAAUCCCUGAGUACAGCGGCGUACGGGUGAGUAACACGUGGGUCAUCUACCUCUUUGUGGGGAAUAACCCUGGGAAACCGGGGCUAAUACCGCAUAAGCCUGGAAAGGGAAAGCAAGCAAUUGCGCAGAGAGAGGAGCCCGCGGCCGAUUAGCUAGUUGGUGAGGUAACGGCUCACCAAGGCGACGAUCGGUAGCCGGCCUGAGAGGGCACACGGCCACACUGGCACUGAAACACGGGCCAGACUCCUACGGGAGGCAGCAGUGGGGAAUCUUGCACAAUGGAGGCAACUCUGAUGCAGCGACGCCGCGUGAGCGAUGAAGCCCCUCGGGGUGUAAAGCUCUUUCGGCAGGAACGAUAAUGACGGUACCUGAAGAAGAAGCUGCGGCUAACUACGUGCCAGCAGCCGCGGUAAUACGUAGGCAGCGAGCGUUGUUCGGAAUUACUGGGCGUAAAGAGUGUGUAGGCGGUGCUCUAAGUUCGGUGUGAAAUCUCCCGGCUUAACUGGGAGGGUGCGCCGGAAACUGGAGUGCUCGAGCGUGGGAGAGGAAAGCGGAAUUCCUGGUGUAGCGGUGAAAUGCGUAGAUAUCAGGAGGAACACCUGUGGUGUAGACGGCUUUCUGGACCAUAGCUGACGCUGAGACACGAAAGCGUGGGUAGCAAACAGGAUUAGAUACCCUGGUAGUCC
RNAcentral lists this ribosomal RNA (758 nucleotides) under uncultured bacterium. Its description in RNAcentral is "bacterial SSU rRNA". It matches the Rfam family "Bacterial small subunit ribosomal RNA", at positions 8 to 796 of the family's 1533-position model. The record is from RNAcentral.